CCUACGGGAGGCAGCAGUGGGGAAUAUUGGACAAUGGGGGGAACCCUGAUCCAGCCAUGCCGCGUGUGUGAUGAAGGCCCUCGGGUUGUAAAGCACUUUCAGUGAGGAAGAACGCCUGGUGGUUAAUACCCAUCAGGAAAGACAUCACUCACAGAAGAAGCACCGGCUAACUCCGUGCCAGCAGCCGCGGUAAUACGGAGGGUGCGAGCGUUAAUCGGAAUUACUGGGCGUAAAGCGCGCGUAGGUGGCUUGAUAAGCCGGUUGUGAAAGCCCCGGGCUCAACCUGGGAACGGCAUCCGGAACUGUCAAGCUAGAGUGCAGGAGAGGAAGGUAGAAUUCCCGGUGUAGCGGUGAAAUGCGUAGAGAUCGGGAGGAAUACCAGUGGCGAAGGCGGCCUUCUGGACUGACACUGACACUGAGGUGCGAAAGCGUGGGUAGCAAACAGGAUUAGAUACCCUAGUAGUC
Molecule: ribosomal RNA, 465 nt
Filed under: Vreelandella stevensii
Lineage: Bacteria; Pseudomonadati; Pseudomonadota; Gammaproteobacteria; Oceanospirillales; Halomonadaceae
Description: partial 16S ribosomal RNA
Rfam family: Bacterial small subunit ribosomal RNA
Source: RNAcentral